GAUUGAUUUAGAUAUGUCAAAGCUCCAGAAGACUUUAGAUGAACUUGAGGAAUUGAGAUUGUUGUUUUCCAAGGAGAAAAGAUCAAAUCUUCUGAAUCCAAAAUCAGAACUCUCAAGUCAAAAUUCAAACCUUCUGUUUUAAGUCAUAUGGUUACUUGAAAUCAAAACAUCUGCAGGACAGUGAAAAGAUUCUCGUGUCUAGUAUCUAUCAUGCUCUUUAUGAUGAAGAGAUAUGAUGAGGAAUCAAAAGGUGAAACUGGUUUCAAUGAAGAUAAUAAUUUGGCAAUGGAUGA
Molecule: unclassified non-coding RNA, 293 nt
Filed under: Hevea brasiliensis (rubber tree)
Lineage: Eukaryota; Viridiplantae; Streptophyta; Magnoliopsida; Malpighiales; Euphorbiaceae
Source: RNAcentral